This 253-nucleotide ribosomal RNA is filed under the name uncultured bacterium. RNAcentral's name for it is "partial 16S ribosomal RNA". It matches the Rfam family "Bacterial small subunit ribosomal RNA", at positions 524 to 776 of the family's 1533-position model. The record is from RNAcentral.
UACAGGGGGGGCAAGCGUUGUUCGGAAUUACUGGGCGUAAAGGGCUCGUAGGCGGCCAACUAAGUCACACGUGAAAUCCCUCGGCUUAACCGGGGAACUGCGUGUGAUACUGGAUGGCUUGAGUUUGGGAGAGGGAUGCGGAAUUCCAGGUGUAGCGGUGAAAUGCGUAGAUAUCUGGAGGAACACCGGUGGCGAAGGCGGCAUCCUGGACCAAUACUGACGCUGAGGAGCGAAAGCCAGGGGAGCAAACGGG